This 793-nucleotide ribosomal RNA is filed under the name uncultured Acinetobacter sp. Its description in RNAcentral is "bacterial SSU rRNA". It matches the Rfam family "Bacterial small subunit ribosomal RNA", at positions 8 to 795 of the family's 1533-position model. The record is from RNAcentral. Lineage: Bacteria; Pseudomonadati; Pseudomonadota; Gammaproteobacteria; Moraxellales; Moraxellaceae.
AGAGUUUGAUUAUGGCUCAGAUUGAACGCUGGCGGCAGGCUUAACACAUGCAAGUCGAGCGGGGAAGUGUAGCUUGCUACAUUACCUAGCGGCGGUCGGGUGAGUAAUGCUUAGGAAUCUGCCUAUUAGUGGGGGACAACAUUCCGAAAGGAAUGCUAAUACCGCAUACGUCCUACGGGAGAAAGCAGGGGAUCUUCGGACCUUGCGCUAAUAGAUGAGCCUAAGUCGGAUUAGCUAGUUGGUGGGGUAAAGGCCUACCAAGGCGACGAUCUGUAGCGGGUCUGAGAGGAUGAUCCGCCACACUGGGACUGAGACACGGCCCAGACUCCUACGGGAGGCAGCAGUGGGGAAUAUUGGACAAUGGGCGGAAGCCUGAUCCAGCCAUGCCGCGUGUGUGAAGAAGGCCUUUUGGUUGUAAAGCACUUUAAGCGAGGAGGAGGCUACUCUAGUUAAUACCUAGAGAUAGUGGACGUUACUCGCAGAAUAAGCACCGGCUAACUCUGUGCCAGCAGCCGCGGUAAUACAGAGGGUGCGAGCGUUAAUCGGAUUUACUGGGCGUAAAGCGUGCGUAGGCGGCUGAUUAAGUCGGAUGUGAAAUCCCGGAGCUUAACUUAGGAAUUGCAUUCGAUACUGGUCAGCUAGAGUAUGGGAGAGGAUGGUAGAAUUCCAGGUGUAGCGGUGAAAUGCGUAGAGAUCUGGAGGAAUACCGAUGGCGAAGGCAGCCAUCUGGCCUAAUACUGACGCUGAGGUACGAAAGCAUGGGGAGCAAACAGGAUUAGAUACCCUGGUAGUC